This 71-nucleotide transfer RNA is filed under the name Sus scrofa (pig). It matches the Rfam family "tRNA". From Rfam's summary of the family: Transfer RNA (tRNA) molecules are approximately 80 nucleotides in length. Their secondary structure includes four short double-helical elements and three loops (D, anti-codon, and T loops). The record is from Rfam by way of RNAcentral. Lineage: Eukaryota; Metazoa; Chordata; Mammalia; Artiodactyla; Suidae.
CCCGGUGUGGUCUAGUUGUUAGGACUUGGCACUUUCACUGCUGUGGCCUAGGUUCAAUCCCUGGUCUGGGA